GAAAGAAAGGGCAGACGGUGGAUGCCUUGGCUCUUGGAGGCGAAGAAGGACGUGAUAAGCUGCGAUAAGCAGGGACUAGGUGCAAAUAACCGUUAGAAUCCCUGAUUUCCGAAUGGGGCAACCCGGCAGGUUGAAGGCCUGUCAUUCCGCAAGGAAGGCAAACGUGGGGAACUGAAACAUCUAAGUACCCACAGGAGGAGAAAACAAAAGUGAUUCCGCAAGUAGUGGCGAGCGAACGCGGAACAGCCCAAACCGGCAUUGUCCAGGCAAUACCGGGGUUGUAGGACCACGUUGUAGCAAGAAAUCGGUAAAGUGGAAUCAACUGGAAAGUUGAAUCAGAGAAGGUGACAAUCCCGUACACGACUUAUCGACGAAGCUUAGUGGUAUCCUGAGUAGCGCGGGACACGAGAAAUCCUGUGUGAAUCUGCGGGGCCCAUCCCGCAAGGCUAAAUACUCCCAAGAGACCGAUAGCGAACCAGUACCGUGAGGGAAAGGUGAAAAGAACCUCGAAUAGAGGAGUGAAAUAGACCCUGAACCCGUCUGCCUACAAGCGGUCGGAGCAUUUUAAUAAUGUGACGGCGUGCCUUUUGCAUAAUGAACCUACGAGUUACUUUUGUUGGCAAGGUUAAGUGGCUAAGUCACGGAGCCGAAGGGAAACCGAGUCUGAACAGGGCGUUAUAGUCAGCAGGAGUAGACGCGAAACCAAGUGAUCUACCCUUGAGCAGGUUGAAGGUUGGGUAACACCAACUGGAGGACCGAACCGGUAAAUGUUGAAAAAUUUUCGGAUGACUUGAGGGUAGGGGUGAAAGGCUAAUCAAACUUGGAGAUAGCUCGUACUCCCCGAAAUGCAUUUAGGUGCAGCCUCGGUUGAUUUUUUAUGUCAGGUAGAGCGACUGAUUGGAUGCGAGGGCUUCGCCGCCUAUCAAGUCCAGACAAACUCCGAAUGGGCAUAAAAUAAAACCGGGAGUGAGGGCGCGGGUGCUAAGGUCCGUGUCCGAAAGGAGAAGAAUCCAGACCACCGGCUAAGGUCCCCAAAUAGAUACUAAGUUGCAUUAACGAAGUCUGGUUACAUGGACAGCUAGGAUGUUGGCUUGGAAGCAGCCAUUCAUUUAAAGAGUGCGUAACAGCUCACUAGUCGAGUGACCGGGCAUGGAUAAUAAUCGGGCAUAAGUAUCUUACCGAAGCUGUGGAAUCAUGCUAAGCAUGAUUGGUAGGGGAGCAUUCUAAACGCGUAGAAGGCAAACGAUAACGUUUACUGGAGCAUUUAGAAAAGCAAAUGUAGGUAUAAGUAACGAUAAUGCGGGCGAGAAACCCGCACGCCGAAAGACCAAGGAUUCCUGAUCAACGCUAAUCGGAUCAGGGUAAGUCGGGGCCUAAGGAUAAGCCGAAAGGCGAGGCCGAUGGAAGAACCGGUUAAUAUUCCGGUACUGUUUGUAAGAGAGAAGUGGGGACGGAGAAGUGAAACUCCUGCCGGCUGACGGAAUAGCCGGUUAAAGGGUGUAGACGCAGAUUCCUGCAGGCAAAUCCGCAGGAAGAGUCGAACCUGAUAGUAUCGCGAGUGCUUGCACGAGCGAAUAUGGAGGUAAGCAGGCUCCCAAGAAAAACCGCUAUCGUUAAUUUUACAAACACCCGUACUGUAAACCGACACAGGUGGUCGCGUAGAAUAUACUAAGGCGCUCGAGAGAAUCAUGGUUAAGGAAUUAGGCAAAAUGGCCCUGUAACUUCGGGAUAAAGGGCGCCUGCCGAACAGGCAGGCCGCAGAGAAUAGGAGAAGGCGACUGUUUAACAAAAACACAUGGCUGUGCAAAAUUUAAAGAUGAAGUAUACAGCCUGACACCUGCCCGGUGCCGGAAGG
This 1855-nucleotide ribosomal RNA is filed under the name Bacteroidia bacterium. Its description in RNAcentral is "partial 23S ribosomal RNA". It matches the Rfam family "Bacterial large subunit ribosomal RNA", at positions 1 to 1876 of the family's 2925-position model. The record is from RNAcentral. Lineage: Bacteria; Pseudomonadati; Bacteroidota; Bacteroidia.